This 491-nucleotide ribosomal RNA is filed under the name uncultured bacterium. RNAcentral's name for it is "partial 16S ribosomal RNA". It matches the Rfam family "Bacterial small subunit ribosomal RNA", at positions 28 to 507 of the family's 1533-position model. The record is from RNAcentral.
GAUGAACGCUGGCUACAGGCUUAACACAUGCAAGUCGAGGGGAAACGACGGGGAAGCUUGCUUCCCCGGGCGUCGACCGGCGCACGGGUGAGUAACGCGUAUCCAACCUGCCUCUGACUGAGGGAUAACCCGUCGAAAGUCGGCCUAAUACCUCAUGGCAUCGUCUGCGGGCAUCCAACGACGAUUAAAGAUUUCAUCGGUCAGAGAUGGGGAUGCGUCUGAUUAGCUUGUUGGCGGGGUAACGGCCCACCAAGGCGACGAUCAGUAGGGGUUCUGAAAGGAAGGGCCCCCACAUUUGAACUGAGACACGGUCCAAACUCCUACGGGAGGCAGCAGUGAGGAAUAUUGGUCAAUGGGCUAGAGCCUGAUCCAGCCAAGUAGCGUGCAGGAGGACGGCCCUAUGGGUUGUAAACUGCUUUUAUGCGGGGAUAAAGUGAGGGACGUGUCCUUCAUUGCAGGUACCGCAUGAAUAAGGACCGGCUAAUUCCGUG